UGAUUCUGAGGCUUCCCCAGCCCAUGUGGAACUGUUGGGUUUCAGCCGAGCAAGUCUGAGGCCCCUUUCCCGCGCCCUCUGGUGGAAAGUGUUCGCUUUUCUGUCCACCCAUGUGAAGGAUUCACCCCGACCCUCCUCAGGUGGCCUUUACUUUGCAGGAGCAAAGCAAGUUGGAUGAGGAGAUACAUGUAUGUGGCACACAGCUUUCUUCACUUAGCAACACGUCAGAUGCAGCGUAGAUGUGCGGAUGAAACCACCAUUGCAAAAUUAUCACUGAGACAGUCAGAGAAACCUGACAUGGCUGACUCCAUGUUGCUUUUAGCCUCACAGGCUGGCUCUCUUAGCUCAUUCCUAAGCAUGGGCCUGAAACUGCCAUUGCAAAAUCGUAACUGAGACAGCAAAAGAGACUUGACCUAACCAACUCCAUCUUGCUUCUAACCUCCAAGCUGUCCUUGUUCAUUCCUGGGUGUAGGCUGAACUAACUUUGGGAGGAACUUAAUUUAUAGUUUAAAACAAAGACGAUAAGACGAUAACAGCCCUUUCUCAAAACAAACAUCCUUCCUGACUGGGGACUAGACUGCCUUUGUAGGAUUAACAAAUUAGCCACAAGAUCAGAAAUUAUAGUUUAGGAGUCAUGCAGCUGGAGGCUCUAAGAUUGUGACCCUCCCUAAACCGCUCAGUGCUUGAGAUGUUUUACAGACCCUGCACUUAAUGGAUCAGCUGGCACCACCCAGAUGGAUAAACUGGCUCAUGUGAUCUUGUGGCCCCCACCCAGGAACUGACUCAGUGCAAGAAGACAACUUCAAUUCCCUAUGAUUUAAUGUCCUACCGAAUCAAUCAGCACUCCUGACACACUGGCUUCCCCUCACCCACCAAAUUGUCCUUAAAACCUCUGAUCUCCAAAUGCUUGAGGAGACUGAUUUGAGUAAUAAUAAAACAAGGCUCCUGCACAGCCGGCUCUGCGCGAAUUACUCUUUCUCUACUGCAGUUCUCCUGUCAUGAUAAAUCGGCUCCAUCUAGGCAGCCAGCAAGGUGAACCCACUGGGUGGUUACAGGCCACGCUAAGUUCGGGAGAAAUUUAGUUUAUGGUUUAAAUGAUAACAGCCCUUCCCCAAAACUAAACUGCCCUGGUAAAACUAAUGAAAGGCCGCCAAGUUAGGAGGAUGACAGGGGCCUGAAUUCUACUGAGCCGUAAGCGUAAUUACCGGCCAUUAUUCCAGAGGACACAAGAUUUGCAACUUGCCUAAUUACUCCUGCAAAGAACAUCGCUACUGUAGCACCUGAGAAUGGCCUUUUGAGAUGUGUUUUCAGGCUUUUGCACUUCUGACAACUGAUGGCUGCACUUGGACUCGCCAGCCGGUCCCGCGUCCCCACCAGAAGCAGAGUAAGCACAAGAGGACAGCUCCGACUCCCUAGGAUUUCAGCUCUGACCAGUCGCACGCCUGGCUCACUGGCUUCCCCACACCCACCAAGUUGUUCUUAAAAACUCUGCUGCCCGAAUGCUCAGGGAGAGUGAUUUGAGUAAUAAUGAAACUGUUGUCUCCUGCACAGUCGGCUCUGCGUGAAUUACUCUUUCUCUAUUGCAAUUCCGCUCUCUUGAGAAAUCGGCUCUGUCCAGGCAGCAGCAAGGUGAAGCCACUGGGCGGUUACACUGAUAUGAUUCCCCCUUUGCAGUUUUUACUCUCUUGGUGCUGCAAACAGUUCCUCACUGAGGACCCUUGUACACGUAUCACUGUGAGCAUGAAUCCGAAUUUCUUUAGGAGACAUACAUACUAGUGGGUAUGUGCAUGUUAUGUAAUUUCUCUUAGCACUGUUUCCUCACUCAUCAAAUAAGGAUCAAGUAGUUCUCACCACACAGGGUUAUUUUAGAAAUAAUUUAGUAUACAUAAUAUACAAUGCAAUAACAAGUACUGAUGUCUACUUCUUUUAGGUUAUAUGAUAAUACCUUAUACAUAGUACAUGUGUGAUUAUAUAUAUUGCAAUGUAGAGUACGAUCUAUAAUUUACAGAACUGUUGUUUAUAUAUAACAAAUGCUGUCCUUGCGAUAGUUUGCUCAGAAUGAUGGUUUAUGUAUACAUAUGUAACAAACCUGCACGUUGUGCACACGUACCCUAGAACUUAAAGUAUAAUUUUAAAAAAUGCUAUAAUUCAUGUGGUGAUUAUUAUCUACCAGUUACAUCAUCGAUAGAAUGAGGACGUUGUUAACGGUACACGCCAGACAGGAUGGCUGUGAGGAUCUGUGAUAAUAAGAAUUAGAUAUUUGGUCUUUGUCCCUGUUUCCUGAUGGAGGCUUCUAAACCCCUUGGAAUUCCCUGACUGAUAGGGGCAAGAGGAAAUCUUUUGUUAUUCCUAACGAGCCCCUUUCAUCCAUGCCUGUGUUUAUGCUAAUGAGGUGACUCCUGGAGGAUGAGGGCUGGUUGCCAGGGGAAUCAACUUUGCCUUGCAACUUUCAGCUCCAGUCCGUGACUUCCAGGGAAAGAACAGGGGCUGGAGAUUGAGUUUAAUCGCCAAUGACCAGUGAUUUGAUCAUUCAUGCUUAAAUAAUGGAACCAUAAGAAACCUAAAGAAAAGGUUUGGAGAGCUGCUGGGUUCAGGAGCACAUUCGUGUGCUGGGAGGGUGUUGUGCCUGGUGAAGGUGUGGAAGCGCUGACUCUGCCUCGCAUACCUUGUCCUGUCUGUGUCUUUCAUCUGGCUGUUGCUGAGUUGUGCUGUUUAUAAUAAUAAACUGGUAACAGGAAGUAAAGCACUUUCCUG
This 2754-nucleotide long non-coding RNA is filed under the name Homo sapiens (human). RNAcentral's name for it is "HSALNT0025473". Lineage: Eukaryota; Metazoa; Chordata; Mammalia; Primates; Hominidae. The record is from RNAcentral.